This 930-nucleotide non-coding RNA is filed under the name Melanophryniscus stelzneri. RNAcentral describes it as "12S ribosomal RNA". It matches the Rfam family "Bacterial small subunit ribosomal RNA". The record is from RNAcentral. Lineage: Eukaryota; Metazoa; Chordata; Amphibia; Anura; Bufonidae.
AAAGGUUUGGUCCUAGCCUUGAAGUCAGUUAUUACUUAAUAUACACAUGCAAGUCUCAGCCUCCCUGUGAAAACGCCCUUUAAACCCCACUAGGGACAAGGAGCUGGUAUCAGGCACAAUAUUAUGCCCAAGACACCUAGCUAUGCCACACCCACAAGGGAUUUCAGCAGUGAUUAACAUUGAAUAUUAGCGUCAGCUAGAUUCAGUUAAAGUAAAAAGGGCCGGCAAAUCUGGUGCCAGCCGCCGCGGUUACACCACGUGGCCCAAAUUGAUUUCCCAUCGGCGUAAAGCGUGAUUUAAGACACAACAUAUUGAAGUUAAACUAAAACUAAGCUGUGACACGCUUGUCUUUAAGAAGCCCAAAAACGAAAGUUACUUCAAUUAAUUCAACUUGAACCCACGACAGCUAGGAAACAAACUGGGAUUAGAUACCCCACUAUGCCUAGCCGUAAACUUUUAAUUACAUCUUAACCGCCUGGGAACUACGAGCUAAGCUUAAAACCCAAAGGACUUGACGGUACCCCAUAUCCCCCUAGAGGAGCCUGUCCUAUAAUCGAUAAUCCACGUUUAACCUUACCAUUUUUAGCUUAUCAGCCUGUAUACCUCCGUCGUCAGCUUACCACGUGAGCGAAACCUAGUGAGCUUAAUGCCUCUACACCAAUACGUCAGGUCAAGGUGCAGUAAAUGAAAUGGAAAGAGAUGGGCUACACUCUCUAAUCUAGAAGAUACGAAAAACUAACUAUGAAACCUAGUUGGAAGGCGGAUUUAGUAGUAAAAAGAAACAAUAGAGUUCUUUUUAACCCGGCACUGGGGUGUGUACACACCGCCCGUCACCCUCCUCAAAGCUAAAAAUUAGUGUAUAACAAACAAAAGCAUUAUAGAAGAGGCAAGUCGUAACAUGGUAAGUAUACCGGAAGGUGUGCUUGGAAA